Dipodomys ordii (Ord's kangaroo rat) is the source of this 65-nucleotide non-coding RNA. The record is from Rfam. Lineage: Eukaryota; Metazoa; Chordata; Mammalia; Rodentia; Heteromyidae.
GGUGGCUCAGUGGUAAAGCGCUUGCCUUGCAUGCAUAAGGCCCUGGGUUCAAUUCCUCAGCACCA